GACCUGAUGGUCUAGGGGUAUGAUUCUCGCUUUGGGUGCGAGAGGUCCGGGUUCAAAUCCCGGUCAGGCCCUCG
Molecule: transfer RNA, 74 nt
Filed under: Penaeus chinensis
Lineage: Eukaryota; Metazoa; Arthropoda; Malacostraca; Decapoda; Penaeidae
Description: tRNA-Pro
Rfam family: tRNA
About the family: Transfer RNA (tRNA) molecules are approximately 80 nucleotides in length.
Source: RNAcentral